ACACGGAAUCGCAUCCAUCAAACAGGACUACAAGUCCCAUGAUGCUCUGUGCGCUCUGGGGAUUCUAUUGGCCUGAUUAGCGCAGAGCCCCAGAGACGGACACAAAGGCUUCAGGUCUGGCAGAUUUUCUUUUUUUGAUAAAUGGUUUAAACAAGAUAUUCAUUGAGUUCAGACCAGACCAUGGUAGAUAAAGAUACGCCUUCAUCUUAUAAAAGCAAGGAAGACUGGGUUGACUCUCGACGAGAAGCUAUUCCUGAGGCUGAAUCAUCGGACGAGUUAGGAACCCGAGACGCUCUCCCGGAGGAUGAGGCGGAAAGUCCAGGAAAAUUGAGAGUAUCUAGUAGGAAGAAGAAGAAACCCAAAACGAGAACGUCCGGCCGCGUUCAAAAA
Long non-coding RNA from Spea bombifrons (plains spadefoot toad), 390 nucleotides. RefSeq lists it as uncharacterized. The record is from RefSeq and is a predicted model, not a curated record. The transcript is spliced from 2 exons. Lineage: Eukaryota; Metazoa; Chordata; Amphibia; Anura; Pelobatidae.